CCCAGGUCAGGCGGGGCUACCCGCUGAAUUU
Molecule: ribosomal RNA, 31 nt
Filed under: Sagina procumbens
Lineage: Eukaryota; Viridiplantae; Streptophyta; Magnoliopsida; Caryophyllales; Caryophyllaceae
Also listed under: 11 other names
Description: partial 28S ribosomal RNA
Source: RNAcentral